AUAAAAAUUUGGAAAAACUUCAAAUAGUCCUCUUGUGGCCCUGUGGUUUCACUUUUUCUCACUUUAGUACUCUGUGGUUUAAAGUAUAUCAAAUUAGUACCUUAUGGUUUCGCAGUUUCUCACUUUAGAAUCAUGUGGUUUAAAGUGUAUCAAAUUAGUACUAUGCGGUUUUGCACUUUCUCACUUAAGUACCCUGUGGUUUAAUAUUUCAUUAAGAGAAAAAUAAAACCACAGGGUACUAAUUUGAUAUAAAAAUAAAACCACAGGGUACUAACUUGAUACAAAAAUAAAACUAUAGAGUACUAACUUGAUACAUUUUAAACUAUAGGAUACUAAAGUGAAAAAGUGCAAAACCACAGGGUACUAACUUGAUACACUUUAAACUAUAGGGUACUAAAAUGAAAAAGUGCAAAACCACAU
RNAcentral lists this long non-coding RNA (420 nucleotides) under Ananas comosus (pineapple). Its description in RNAcentral is "long non-coding RNA (ACOM_LNC000054)". The record is from RNAcentral. Lineage: Eukaryota; Viridiplantae; Streptophyta; Magnoliopsida; Poales; Bromeliaceae.